CAGCAGCCACGGUAAUACGAAGGGGGCUAGCGUUGUUCGGAAUUACUGGGCGUAAAGGGCGCGUAGGCGGCCAUUCAAGUUAGAUGUGAAAGCCCUGGGCUCAACCUAGGAAUUGCAUCUGAUACUGUUUGGCUUGAGUUCGGGAGAGGUGAGUGGAAUUCCCAGUGUAGAGGUGAAAUUCGUAGAUAUUGGGAAGAACACCAGUGGCGAAGGCGGCUCACUGGACGCGUAUUGACGCUGAGGUGCGAAAGCGUGGGGAGCAAACAGGAUUAGAUACCCGCGUAGUCCCUGUCUCUUAUAA
RNAcentral lists this ribosomal RNA (301 nucleotides) under uncultured bacterium. RNAcentral's name for it is "partial 16S ribosomal RNA". It matches the Rfam family "Bacterial small subunit ribosomal RNA", at positions 509 to 809 of the family's 1533-position model. The record is from RNAcentral.